RNAcentral lists this ribosomal RNA (465 nucleotides) under Vreelandella stevensii. Its description in RNAcentral is "partial 16S ribosomal RNA". It matches the Rfam family "Bacterial small subunit ribosomal RNA", at positions 338 to 795 of the family's 1533-position model. Lineage: Bacteria; Pseudomonadati; Pseudomonadota; Gammaproteobacteria; Oceanospirillales; Halomonadaceae. The record is from RNAcentral.
CCUACGGGAGGCAGCAGUGGGGAAUAUUGGACAAUGGGGGCAACCCUGAUCCAGCCAUGCCGCGUGUGUGAAGAAGGCCCUCGGGAUGUAAAGCACUUUCAGUGAGGAAGAACGCCUGGUGGUUAAUACCCAUCAGGAAAGACAUCACUCACAGAAGAAGCACCGGCUAACUCCGUGCCAGCAGCCGCGGUAAUACGGAGGGUGCGAGCGUUAAUCGGAAUUACUGGGCGUAAAGCGCGCGUAGGUGGCUUGAUAAGCCGGUUGUGAAAGCCCCGGGCUCAACCUGGGAACGGCAUCCGGAACUGUCAAGCUAGAGUGCAGGAGAGGAAGGUAGAAUUCCCGGUGUAGCGGUGAAAUGCGUAGAGAUCGGGAGGAAUACCAGUGGCGAAGGCGGCCUUCUGGACUGACACUGACACUGAGGUGCGAAAGCGUGGGUAGCAAACAGGAUUAGAUACCCUGGUAGUC